AGCAAGGGUGCUCAGACCGUUUUUGCACCCGGAGGUUGCAGGAAGUCUAGACACCGCAUAGAACAGUAUGUGUUCCCUGCAGACUUCAAGAAAGAUUUCCGUUUCAGAGAUCUGAGGGGCCAUGGAACUUCCAAUGCCCAGCCAUAGCCAUGUAACAACUGGGCAUCCCUGGACGUUUUUCUGGUCACCAUUGCAUUUUUAGAGGCACUGAGUACAUCAGAAGACUCUAAACUCUUUGAAAGGCCUCCAAACUGCAAGCAAUGAAUGGUGGUGGAUCCUGGGAUGGACAAGGUGUCACUCUAUUAUCUGAACAAUAUCUCUUUCAACUCCACACCAAAUCAUAUUUGUACAUAGGGUGAGGCCUGGAGGAGAGAGUGAAGAUGGAAUAUGCAGACAAAUAGUUCUACCUGCAGCAACUCUUAGGUGUUCAAUUACUAAAGAAGAGUCAACACUCAGAGAGCUGUGGGUGCUCAAGAACACUUUGACCACCGGCUAAUGGAUGCUGCAACCCGAUCACCCUCAUUCCACAGAAGAGGACAUGGAGGCCUACAGAGACUGAUUCGCUUGACUAAGUCAUAUUCAGGCAAGGGGUGGAACCUCCAUUCGAAGCCAGGCAGCCUGGAUCUGAAGUCUGUGGGCUUAAGCACCUGCUCUCACUGCCUGAAAUGUCCGUGCACUAGGUCUUCCAAGGAACAAAGAAAAACAUUACUUAUUUUUUAAACAUAAUAAAAUGCAUUGUAUCUUGUAAUCACCAUGUGGCACAAUUGAGCAAUUUAAAAAAUCCAGGACCCAUUAUGAAAUCUUCAUGAUCUAUUUUUACCUAUACCUUGAACAUUUUCUAUUUUAUAAACUUAGGAAUUAUUUCAUUAUUAUUCGUCAAUUAUUCCCAACAAUGCCAAAAAAGACUAAAAUAAUAAAAAAUGGAAUAGUGAUGAAUUGUCUAGAAGGAUGAUGCAAUUGUAAAAUUGUAAUAAAAAUCAGCAUUAUCUCAUGUGUUGUCCCACAUGUUGAGUACAUAUUGCAUCAUCAUUCAAGAAGGCAUAAAAGAAGUUUAAAGACAUUUAUAUGGUCUACUUUUAGUUUCACUGAACACAGUUUAGAAUUUAGAAUUUUUUUCCAUCCAUAACCACAAAGAGAAGCAAAUUGAUAGAGGAAGAUGUUUCAGUGAUUAGACAAAUCAGAAGAUGAAUGCAAAAAAGACUAAUAACAGUAUGCUAAACUCUAAUGAUUAGGGAAAUUGAAAAUGAUCAGUCAAGUGAAAUCUCAUUUCAUGAAUCUUCAAAUGACAAUGUAUUUUCUCAAAUUCAAGAAUCAAGUGAGCAAUACAUUUCAAAGAGUGAAACAGGAAAUAUGGCAUCUUCAUUCGGUUAGUCCUUCAAUCGGAAGGACUUUAUCAUGCAAUAUUUUGUGGCAAGAACAUGAACCAUUUAAUUUUGUUAAAAGGGUAUGUACAAUACUCUUUCAUCUUUUAUAAAUUCAGUGUGCCAAAAUUUAUGGUUUUUAAAUAUACAAAUGCUGAAGAAAUGUGAAGACAGGUAUCAGAAGGCAUUUGCUAAUGUAUAAAUAAAAAAUCAUUGGGUUUAUCAUUCUAAUUAAUGCUUACAAAUUUAAAUAUGAAAACAGUUUGCACAUAUGAAAUAAAAAUUACAUAAUUUUUCAACAAAAAAAUGAGCCAUCAUAGAUUUCAAAAAUUCAACUGUUGCAUUUUGAUGAUGUAAUUAAUAAUAUACUAGAACCUAGUAAAUAUGAGUUUGAAAUCUGGAAUUAGUACUUAUAAAUAAAUACAGUGCAAUUUUAUUCAUGAUAGCUGAUGAGCGGUCAGUUUUUUUUUUCUGAAAAUGUUUCCAAUUUGGAGUAUAUGAACCUUUGAUAUUAGGAAAAAAUGGAAUAAUAAUGAAUAACAUUAGUGAAAUGAAAUAAACAUUUAGCCUUGCUAUGUUUAAGUUCUUAUGAAAAUUUUGCUAUCUUUUUAUUAUUACUUCUGUAACAAUUUUUUAAGUGGUUCAAAAUAUUUAAAAAACAACAACAUUAAGAAGUCCAAGUGGUAUUUGAAGAUCAUUAUUUAUUCCUAGUAUACUGAGAUUAACAUGUACAUUUUCUGAGCCUCUAUUGCAUACUUAUCAAGUUACCCUUAGUUAUAAAAUGAUUUAUGACAUCUUAUCUCUUUUCUGGACUGUCAACUUGCUGAAGGAAUUCAACAAAUAGAAUUGAGUAUACAUCAAAACUCCCAAAUAUUUUGUUCUGUGAAAAUAAAUGGAUGUUUGGAACUAAAGUGAGUAUAUUUUUAUGAGGCAGUCUUUUUUGGAGGAGAGGAAAGUAUGGCUGAAUCGUACGAAAUCUUCUCCAAUACAGCCAAUUGAGUUCUACAAUUCAUUGGAUUAAACCAUUAAAUAACAGUUAAUAUAAUGCAAUUACAUUUGUCCUCUUAUCAGCGGGAUCAAACCAGAAAUUCAGUUAUAUGCCACUGAAUUUUAAGAAAAGGAUCUUUUUUUAAAAAUAUAUUUUAUUGAUUUUUUACAGAGAGGAAGGGAGAGAGAUAGAGAGUUAGAA
Myotis myotis is the source of this 2550-nucleotide long non-coding RNA. RefSeq lists it as uncharacterized. The transcript is spliced from 5 exons. NCBI's taxonomy places the organism in Eukaryota, Metazoa, Chordata, Mammalia, Chiroptera, Vespertilionidae. The record is from RefSeq and is a predicted model, not a curated record.